This is a long non-coding RNA of Triticum aestivum (bread wheat), 2923 nucleotides long. RefSeq lists it as uncharacterized. The transcript has 4 exons. The record is from RefSeq and is a predicted model, not a curated record. Lineage: Eukaryota; Viridiplantae; Streptophyta; Magnoliopsida; Poales; Poaceae.
CACAAACAAAAAUUGGACGAACGAGGCUGCUCUCCCUCUGCAAACCCUAGCCGCCGCACAAGGGAAGAGACGAGGGACAACAGGAUGCACGCUGCGCCGAUACGUGUCUGCCGCCGACCUCUCCGCACUGUGCACCCCAUUCCCCACCUCCUCCGGUCCUCGCCUACAGCCGCUCCUCCGUGACGGCACCAGCCCUCCAGGUGCCGCCGGCCCAAGCACGCCGCCUGCUCUCCAUGCGCCGCCCACGGACAUCGCUGGAGGAGGCGCUGAAGAAGGGCUCCGACUCCUCGGAAGAGGAAGAGGAAGGGGCCGCCGGCUACAAGCUCCAUAUCCAGGCCCUGGAGCGCGCCAUCUUGGCGCAGCCUCUCGACUAUGGUUCCCAUAUUGUUCAGAUUCGCUCAUGCGCCAAAGCCAGCUCAAGGAAGCCUUCCUGGACUCCUGGUCGACCAUGACACAAGCUUGAAGCAGCGGUGCUUGAAGCAGCGGAACACCGAAGGAGGAUCUCGUGGAUAACAGAGGUGUUGACGGCAACCUCAAAGGCGAGAGCUAUUGACACUGCAAAUUGUUUUCUUGUCUCUAUGUUUCUUACUUUAUGCAACCCCGUCGGUAUUAAGGCAGUAUAGUUUGUGGGGAGCAAUGAAAAACUGAAUUUGUUGAUUCUUAGAAUUUGGACUGGUCCGUUUGAUACGUCUGCACUCGUGAUGCGGAACAUUUUCCAACAUAGUGUGGGUUCAAAAGUGAGGAAAACAAUUGGCUUGCAGGGUUCAGGCUACUUUCUUGUGCUUGUUUUGCCUUGUAAUUACUUGAAACUGCAACCUGCAGGUUGAAUGGGCGCUUGAUAUUUUAGGGCGGAAGGCUGAAGCAAAGAAAGCUGCGGCUCUUUAGUAUAUCUUUAGAUUUGCGGCUCUUUGAGCUGUGGUGCAUUUGAUUUGAGACCCGAAUGAGGUCGGUUAAAUUAGGAUUAAAGUCUGCACAAUAACCAGGAACACUGAACAAGCAAGGCUAUUCAGAUGAAGUCUGCACUUAAUACUAUAGGUUUCCUUUUGGGCUCUUGGUACAACUUCGCUAGCAUCAUAAAUUAAUUGUGGGAUAUGAUGCAUAGUACUAGCUUCUUAUGUUUAUUUUGGAAAUCUUAGUUUAUAGAUUUCCUUUUCGUCUCUUGUACUAAUAUUCAGGGCAAUGGAAAUCUUGUAUAAUAAUCUGUACGUAGUUGGUACUAACAACAAAAUGAUGACAUGUUUGUUUUUGGGCAUUAAGUCAUGUGCUGAUCCUCUUGCAUUUGGAUUCCGGUCUUACCCUGACUAUGUGGAUAUGCUAUUCUAGGUUGGUUUUACGUUUCUUAUUGGAAGAGUGAGAUGCCCAGGACAGAAUCCAGUUUGUAUCAACGCCUCAUUGAAUAGAAUCAUGUAGAUUCUUCUUCAUACAAGCUUCAUAAAGAAAUAGUUUUAAGGGAGGACUUCAAAGAGUAUUUUGCCAAAUUUGGUAAAGUGCGGGUAAAUUGAUUUUUGGUUGUCCUUUUUCUUUACAAUUGGUUCAUAAUAGAAAAGGUUGUUGCUACAUUUGCAUCCAAUCCAACAUUGAAUUAAAAAGUGUGCAUGUUAUUUGGUGAUUGGCCUAAUGUUAAAAAACCAUAUUUAUGCAUUUAAGAAAAGGAUAUGCGCAUGGUACUGAACAAUGAGAAAAACACUGUCGGCCAUAUCUCAAAUCAAGUUAUUUGGUGUAUUUCAGGGCGGGCGUGUAAUUAGAGAACAAAACACUACAACGUCAAAUGAGAUUAUCGAACUGAACUGAUUGUACUGAAAAGUAGGACCUAAACUUGUGCUACUAGCCAACCUUUUCUUCAGGGAAUGCCAAGAUAUUUGCCAAACAAGGCCAUAGGAUGGUACUCCCUCCGUUCCGAUUUACUUGUCGUGGUUUUAGUUCAAUUUGAACUAAAACCAUGACAAGUAAAUCGGAACGGAGGGAGUAUGUUCAAACAUACACCUUUUACUCAUCAUGACAUGAUAUUUUAUUCUGUUGUGCCCUUACUCCUUUUCUAUCUCCCGACAGUACUUUCAGGUGCUAUACACUGACAACCUAUCAGGUGAGAAUCGAUUUGUGGAUCUUUCCCUUUUUUGAACUGGUCGUUAUGUGGUUCUUGGGGACUUGCACUCUGUUUUAUUUCUUUUUUACCUCCUAUUUAUGGGCUCCCUUCUGUUAGGGAGUCAACCGAUGACUAGAUGGGUAUCUUGUUGCUCAUCUCCAGCAAGUCGGGCUCUAGUGUAUUUCGGUCAGCAUCCACGGAGGAGCAGGUAACUGACGGCAUUUACGCUGUCGGGCUCACUGUCCUCAUCACACGUGACCACAACCCACCCAACCAACUAUAAUCCUUUGUUCAUACAUUUCAUUGAAACCUCAUGCUUGACUGCACAUCUUGGUUGUGUGAUGUGAUGGGAACAUAUUUUCGGUAUUAGGUUUGUCAUAUGAUGAUGAUUUCUUUCCAACAAGUAGUCACACUAAUUAAAUUCAGAAAUUUGUUGGACAAGUCAACUUUAUAGAUUCAUUGUGUAUGAUUAAAGUUGGCAUUAGAUAAACAAAGAAUGUGAUCUGCCUCUCUAAAUUUGCUCUAAUUCUAAAGUGGCAGUGAAUCGAGACGGAGCUGAUGUGAAAUUAGCUUAUUUUUUAAGUGUGCAACGACUUCUAGCGCUUGAUUAAAAAUGGUCAUUUGCUAUUCAUCAUUUAUUUUCUAUUUUAAAUCUUAUUAUAUCUAAUCUGCCCACUGUUUCUUUUUUCAAGAUUCUAUAGUUAACACAAACUUGUUUGGGACUAAAGGCUUUGUUGUUGUUGUCUAUAGUUAACACAAAAUCCAAUCUCAGAGUUAGCAACAUAGUAUACACUACCAGUUUGGUCAUUACUGCAGGAUGCUGCUAACGCGACACUACGA